GCACCGCUGAGGAGUCUCACGAUAGGACGAAACGAUCGUCUAGUGC
This 46-nucleotide non-coding RNA is filed under the name Schistosoma haematobium. Lineage: Eukaryota; Metazoa; Platyhelminthes; Trematoda; Strigeidida; Schistosomatidae. The record is from RNAcentral.